RNAcentral lists this ribosomal RNA (493 nucleotides) under uncultured bacterium. Its description in RNAcentral is "partial 16S ribosomal RNA". It matches the Rfam family "Bacterial small subunit ribosomal RNA", at positions 30 to 523 of the family's 1533-position model. The record is from RNAcentral.
AUUGAACGCUGGCGGCAUGCUUUACACAUGCAAGUCGAACGGUAACAGGUUAAGCUGACGAGUGGCGAACGGGUGAGUAAUGCAUUGGAACGUGCCCGGUCGUGGGGGAUAACGCAGCGAAAGCUGCGCUAAUACCGCAUACGAUCUGAGGAUGAAAGCGGGGGACCGUAAGGCCUCGCGCGAUCGGAGCGGCCGAUGUCAGAUUAGGUAGUUGGUGGGGUAAAGGCUCACCAAGCCAACGAUCUGUAGCUGGUCUGGGACGACGACCAGCCACACUGAGACAGAGACACGGCCCAGACUCCUACGGGAGUCAGCAGUGGGGAAUUUUGGACAAUGGUCGAAAGCUUGAUCCAGCAAUGCCGCGUGCAGGAAGAAGGCCUUCGGGUUGUAAACUGCUUUUGUACGGAGCGAAAAGGUCUCCUCUAAUACAGGGGGCUCAUGACGGUACCGUAAGAAUAAGCACCGGCUAACUACGUGCCAGCAGCCGCCGUAA